GGGGAAAUAGCUCAGUUGGUUAGAGUGUUGGUCUGUCACGCCAGAAGUCGCAGGUUCGAACCCCGUUUUCCCCG
Non-coding RNA from Triticum aestivum (bread wheat), 74 nucleotides. The record is from Rfam. NCBI's taxonomy places the organism in Eukaryota, Viridiplantae, Streptophyta, Magnoliopsida, Poales, Poaceae.